CGGGUCUUGUACACACCGCCCGUCACACCAUGGGAGUGGAGGAUACCAGAAGUAGUUAGACUAACCGUAAGGGGGUCGAUUACCACGGUAUGUUUCAUGACUGGGGUG
Molecule: ribosomal RNA, 108 nt
Filed under: uncultured bacterium
Lineage: Bacteria
Description: partial 16S ribosomal RNA
Rfam family: Bacterial small subunit ribosomal RNA
Source: RNAcentral